Molecule: non-coding RNA, 261 nt
Organism: Vicia faba (fava bean)
Lineage: Eukaryota; Viridiplantae; Streptophyta; Magnoliopsida; Fabales; Fabaceae
Source: the annotation of a GenBank genome assembly
AUGGCGGCCCCUACAACAAAUAAGGAAGUCAUAAAGUUGAAUGGAAUUUCGACGACUUUAAAUAGAUUCAUUUCAAAGUCAAAAAAAUAUGCCAUACCUUUUUACAAGAUAUUGAAGAAAGAAGCACUUUUCAAGUGGACCCCUGAGUAUCAACAAGCCGUCACGUCCCUAAAUAUGGUCAUGUCUACUCUUCUUGUUCUAUCUCGACCUAUGUUGGGGAACGUAUAUACCUUUAUUUGGUUCUAUUUGAGGAGGAAUUAA